UGAAUUCUGGAAUUCGAAGCCCAGCAGAGGGAGAAUCAGCUAACCGGGAGAGAAGCCACUGGAAGUAGCAUCAGCAGGCAUAGGAUGAUGGUAUAGAAGACUAUGAAAAGAGCUUAAGGAUUCAUCAUCACAAAUCUGCAUAUUGACAGGUUUUAUUUUUUAAUCAACCCAUACUGUUGUCAUAUUUCAUUUCUUAAUAAGAAACUGUUUGUGCUGCAGUUGCCAGUGGAAAAAGGGAAAGGCUUGGCUCACCAAGUGAGAGAGCGGAGUAAGUCAGCGACAGCUGAGAACACAAGGGACUAAAUCCAAAUGCUAGAGUAAACCCAUUCAAUUAGUGGGAUUUAUACACCCUAAAGGCAGUAGAGCUUGUCUACUGCAGGAUCAGCCCUGGUUAAUACUUGGAUGGGAGACCACCAAUGAAUACCAGGUGCUGUAGGCUAUAUUUUGGAGGAAGGAAUGGGCAAAACCACCUCCGAGGAUUUCUUGUCUAAGAAAAUCCUUUCAUGGGGUUGCCACAAGUUGAUGUGAAAGCACAUACAACACACAAAUAUAAGUGUUAGUUUACCAUUCAGCUAUUGUCUGAGCAGGUCAGCUCUAGUAGGGCUGAGAACGGGAUUUGGAAUUAUGUGCCCAUGACUACAAGUGGACCUUGGAUGGUCCAGUGUGGCCUUUAGAAGACCUACCCCUGAUCUCAGAACCCUCUCCAAACAUGCUUCAUCUUCAAGCUGAUCAAAUGCUUUAAAAUGUUCAAAUAGGAUGUCAGAGCUGUAGCUAUGGGGGCAGGUGGUGGUGGUGGAUGAGGGCAUUGGCCCGCAAUAAGAAUCCUCGCCCCCUAAAUGAAAUUUUAAUCCAGGUCCCCAAAUUUCAAGCAUUGCAGAAAAUGAGACAGUACUCACUCUAUUUGCUAUGUAUGCUUGGCUCCACUUCAAGACUCAGCCUCCAGGUACAUUAGCAAAACAAGAGUUUGAUAUGGACAAUAUGAAUUCAAAGUCCUGAUUGAGGACACAUGGUGGACACAUACUGGAGAACCAUUAAUGGCUGUUGUUUCCUCAGAUGGGUCUGAUGUAGCUGAAACUUUGCAUCUACCCUUCAUACUUUAACAAGUUUUAUCAAAAGGGUAAGCAA
Sceloporus undulatus (fence lizard) is the source of this 1125-nucleotide long non-coding RNA. RefSeq lists it as uncharacterized. Lineage: Eukaryota; Metazoa; Chordata; Lepidosauria; Squamata; Phrynosomatidae. The transcript has 2 exons. The record is from RefSeq and is a predicted model, not a curated record.